Molecule: transfer RNA, 92 nt
Filed under: Winogradskya consettensis
Lineage: Bacteria; Bacillati; Actinomycetota; Actinomycetes; Micromonosporales; Micromonosporaceae
Description: Actinoplanes consettensis tRNA-Ala
Source: RNAcentral
UGCUGCUCUGGGUCGUGGCGUCCGGUGGGUUCGCGCUCUACCUGGCGUACUUCGCCAACUACAACAAAACGUACGGCACGCUCGGUGGUGUC